This 430-nucleotide ribosomal RNA is filed under the name uncultured bacterium. RNAcentral describes it as "bacterial SSU rRNA". It matches the Rfam family "Bacterial small subunit ribosomal RNA", at positions 355 to 776 of the family's 1533-position model. The record is from RNAcentral.
UGGGGAAUAUUGCGCAAUGGGGGAAACCCUGACGCAGCAACGCCGCGUGAGUGAGGAAGGCCUUCGGGUUGUAAAGCUCUUUCGGCUGGGAAGAAGGGGAUUUCUCCUAAUAAGAGAGAUUCUUGAUGGUACCAGAAGAAGAAGCACCGGCUAACUUCGUGCCAGCAGCCGCGGUAAUACGAAGGGUGCGAGCGUUAUUCGGAAUUAUUGGGCGUAAAGGGUUCGUAGGCGGGAGAUCAAGUCAAGUGUGAAAUAUCCGGGCUUAACCUGGAAAGUGCAUUUGAAACUGUUUUUCUUGAGUGUUGAAGAGGGUGGUGGAAUUGCUGGUGUAGGAGUGACAUCCGUAGAGAUCAGCAGGAACAUCGGAGGCGAAGGCGGCCACCUGGUCAAUCACUGACGCUGAGGAACGAAAGCAUGGGGAGCAAACAGG